GGAGGAGUGGCAGAGUGGUUGAAUGCGACGGUCUUGAAAACCGUUGGACUCGAAAGGGUCUCGAGGGUUCGAAUCCCUCCUCCUCCGCCA
This 90-nucleotide transfer RNA is filed under the name Acidobacteriota bacterium. Its description in RNAcentral is "Acidobacteria bacterium tRNA-Ser". It matches the Rfam family "tRNA". From Rfam's summary of the family: Transfer RNA (tRNA) molecules are approximately 80 nucleotides in length. Their secondary structure includes four short double-helical elements and three loops (D, anti-codon, and T loops). The record is from RNAcentral. RNAcentral also lists the same sequence under 1 other name. Lineage: Bacteria; Pseudomonadati; Acidobacteriota.